RNAcentral lists this transfer RNA (65 nucleotides) under Periophthalmus argentilineatus (barred mudskipper). RNAcentral describes it as "tRNA-Cys". It matches the Rfam family "tRNA". Rfam says of the family: Transfer RNA (tRNA) molecules are approximately 80 nucleotides in length. Their secondary structure includes four short double-helical elements and three loops (D, anti-codon, and T loops). Lineage: Eukaryota; Metazoa; Chordata; Actinopteri; Gobiiformes; Gobiidae. RNAcentral also lists the same sequence under 5 other names. The record is from RNAcentral.
AGCUCUGGGGUGUAAACAUGUAAGAUUGCAAAUCUUGAGAUGCAGAUUGACGUCUGCCGGGGCUU